This is a long non-coding RNA of Entelurus aequoreus (snake pipefish), 739 nucleotides long. RefSeq lists it as uncharacterized. The transcript is spliced from 3 exons. NCBI's taxonomy places the organism in Eukaryota, Metazoa, Chordata, Actinopteri, Syngnathiformes, Syngnathidae. The record is from RefSeq and is a predicted model, not a curated record.
UUGCCAUGGGUGGAGUUUUCUUAUAACUCCUUGAAGAGCUCCGCUACCGGUAUGUCCCCAUUUGAGUGCUCAUUAGGUUAUCAACCCCCUUUAUUUCCCCAACAGGAACUGGAAAUCGCUGUUCCCUCUACUAGAGCUCAUAUUAGACGGUGUCAGAGGGUGUGGAGAGCCGCUCGUGCAGCUUUGGAAAGAGCAUCUGAGAAAAUGUGUCGCAACGCCAACCGUCAUCGUAUUCCAGCCCCGUCCUAUAAACCAGGACAACAAGUGAUGCUUCUCACUAAGGACCUCAGUCUCCAGGACGCUCAAACACACCUCUGCUCACACUGAGCACAACACGCCCACACAGCAACAAGUCUGCAAGCAAUCACUGAUCAGCACACCUGGACUUGACGAGGGGGAGCGGCAUAAAGACCAGCGGACCCAAGGAACCUUUGCCAGAACGUCGCUAACCUUCCAUGACUCUCCUGACCUCCGUGAUCGUGCCUUGUCACUCGACACCCAUCCGGAUUCCUAACUGCCCACCUCGAUCCACGACCUCCCUGCUCGGACCCAGACCACGCUGCCCUGCUCUUGUCCACGACCACUUGCCUGUCCAUGAACUGCCUCUUCGCCUUUGCCCCCUUGGAUACGACGAAAGAUACAACAACCCUUGGUAACAUUUACAUUAUAAUUUUACACAUAGUCAACACUCACUCACUUUGAGUAGCAUACACACGCCACCUAUUCAUCUAAGGUUUUU